GACGAACGCUGGCGGCGUGCUUAACACAUGCAAGUCGAACGGAAAGGCCUUUUCGGAGGUACUCGAGUGGCGAACGGGUGAGUAACACGUGGGUGAUCUGCCCUGCACUCUGGGAUAAGCCUGGGAAACUGGGUCUAAUACCGGAUAGGACCGCACUUUAGUGUGUGGGGGGGAAAGUUUUUUCGGUGUAGGAUGAGCCCGCGGCCUAUCAGCUUGUUGGUGGGGUAAUGGCCUACCAAGGCGGCGACGGGUAGCCGGACUGAGAGGUUGGUCGGCCACAGUGGGGCUGGGAUACGGCCCAGACUCCUACGGGGGGCAGCAGUGGGGAAUAUUGCACAAUGGGCGCGAGCCUGAUGCAGCGACGGCGCGUGGGGGAUGACGGCCUUCGGGUUGUAAACUCCUUUCGCCAGGGACGAAGCGGUUUGUGACGGUACCUGGUGAAGAAGCACCGGCUAACUACGUG
RNAcentral lists this ribosomal RNA (463 nucleotides) under uncultured bacterium. RNAcentral describes it as "partial 16S ribosomal RNA". It matches the Rfam family "Bacterial small subunit ribosomal RNA", at positions 28 to 507 of the family's 1533-position model. The record is from RNAcentral.